Molecule: ribosomal RNA, 353 nt
Filed under: uncultured bacterium
Lineage: Bacteria
Description: bacterial SSU rRNA
Rfam family: Bacterial small subunit ribosomal RNA
Source: RNAcentral
AACGCGAAGCAACCUUACCUGGGCUUGGAAACCCCUGGAAUCCUGCAGAGAUGUGGGAGUGCUCUUUUAGAGAACCAGGUGUCCAGAGUGCUGCAUGGCUUGUCGUCAGCUCGCUGUCGUGAGAUGUUGGGUUAAGUCCCGCAACGAGCGCAACCCCUGGUUGCCAGUUGCCAGCGGUUCGGCCGGGCACUCUGGCGACACUGCCGGUGGUAAGCCGGAGGAAGGUGGGGAUGACGUCAAGUCCUCAUGGGCCCUUAUGCCCGGGGCUACACACGUACUUACAUGGCCGGUACAAAGGGCUGCGAACCCGCGAGGGGGAGCCAAUCCAAAAUGCCGGCCUCAGUUCGGAUUGC